Molecule: ribosomal RNA, 440 nt
Filed under: uncultured bacterium
Lineage: Bacteria
Description: partial 16S ribosomal RNA
Rfam family: Bacterial small subunit ribosomal RNA
Source: RNAcentral
CCUACGGGAGGCAGCAGUGGGGAAUAUUGCACAAUGGGGGAAACCCUGAUGCAGCGACGCCGCGUGAAGGAUGAAGUUGUUCGGUAUGUAAACUUCUAUCAGCAGGGAAGAAAAUGACGGUACCUGACUAAGAAGCCGCGGCUAACUACGUGCCAGCAGCCGCGGUAAUACGUAGGGGGCAAGCGUUAUCCGGAGUUACUGGGUGUAAAGGGAGCGUAGACGGUAUGGCAAGUCUGAUGUGAAAACCCGGGGCUGAAACCCGGGACUGCAUUGGAAACUGCAGAACUAGAGUGUCGGAGAGGUAAGUGGAAUACGUAGUGUAGCGGUGAAAUGCGUAGAUAUUAGGAGGAACACCAGUGGCGAAGGCGGCUUGCUGGACGAUGACUGACGUUGAGGCUCGAAAGCGUGGGGAGCAAACAGGAUUAGAUACCCCAGUAGUC